CAAAUUAGAUCUUGUUGAAGUAUUUCAUUUACAUUGAAAAGAAAUUAUUAAUUUAAUUAAUUUGA
This 65-nucleotide transfer RNA is filed under the name Ampittia virgata. RNAcentral's name for it is "tRNA-Val". Lineage: Eukaryota; Metazoa; Arthropoda; Insecta; Lepidoptera; Hesperiidae. The record is from RNAcentral.